UAGGGAGGAAGGUAGUGUAGUUAACACCUGCAUUAUUUGACGUUACCUACAGAAGAAGCACCGGCUAACUCCGUGCCAGCAGCCGCGGUAAUACGGAGGGUGCGAGCGUUAAUCGGAAUUACUGGGCGUAAAGCGCAUGCAGGCGGCCUGUUAAGUCAGAUGUGAAAGACCCGGGGCGUUAACCUCGGAAUUGCAUUUGUAAACUGGCAGGCUAGAGUCUUGUAGAGGGGGGUAGGAAUUUCAGGUGUAGCGGUGAAAUGCGUAGAGAUCUGAAGGAAUACCAGUGGCGAAGGCGGCCCCCUCGGACAAAGACUGACGCUCAGAUGCGAAAGCGUGGGGAGCAAACAGGAUUAGAUACCCCUGGUAG
RNAcentral lists this ribosomal RNA (367 nucleotides) under uncultured bacterium. RNAcentral's name for it is "bacterial SSU rRNA". It matches the Rfam family "Bacterial small subunit ribosomal RNA", at positions 440 to 793 of the family's 1533-position model. The record is from RNAcentral.